RNAcentral lists this transfer RNA (82 nucleotides) under Daphnia pulex (common water flea). RNAcentral's name for it is "tRNA-Ser". It matches the Rfam family "tRNA". From Rfam's summary of the family: Transfer RNA (tRNA) molecules are approximately 80 nucleotides in length. Their secondary structure includes four short double-helical elements and three loops (D, anti-codon, and T loops). Lineage: Eukaryota; Metazoa; Arthropoda; Branchiopoda; Diplostraca; Daphniidae. The record is from RNAcentral.
GCAGAUAUGGCCGAGUGGUUAAGGCGACUGACUCGAAAUCAGUUUCCAUCUUGGAGCGUAGGUUGGAAUCCUACUAUCUGCG